This 79-nucleotide transfer RNA is filed under the name Mucilaginibacter agri. Its description in RNAcentral is "Mucilaginibacter sp. R11 tRNA-Ser". Lineage: Bacteria; Pseudomonadati; Bacteroidota; Sphingobacteriia; Sphingobacteriales; Sphingobacteriaceae. The record is from RNAcentral.
GAAGGCUUUUUUAUUUGAUCAAGGCUAUGGCGUCCCGAUGGAAUCGGGAAGGUCAUCGGUUCGACUCCGAUAUUCUCCA